GGCGCUAUCAUCUAGUGGUUAGGAUACAGCGUUCUCAACGCUGACACACGGGUUCGAAUCCCGUUAGCGCUA
This 72-nucleotide transfer RNA is filed under the name Candidatus Daviesbacteria bacterium. RNAcentral's name for it is "tRNA-Glu". It matches the Rfam family "tRNA". Rfam says of the family: Transfer RNA (tRNA) molecules are approximately 80 nucleotides in length. Their secondary structure includes four short double-helical elements and three loops (D, anti-codon, and T loops). Lineage: Bacteria; Candidatus Daviesiibacteriota. The record is from RNAcentral.